CCCUGGUUACCUCAGUUGGUAGAGCGCUCCACCUGUAAUGAAGAGGUCCCGGGUUCGAUACCCCGGACCCAGGC
Molecule: non-coding RNA, 74 nt
Organism: Ixodes scapularis (black-legged tick)
Lineage: Eukaryota; Metazoa; Arthropoda; Arachnida; Ixodida; Ixodidae
Source: Rfam